CAGGCUUAACACAUGCAAGUCGAGGGGCAGCAUGGUCUUAGCUUGCUAAGGCCGAUGGCGACCGGCGCACGGGUGAGUAACGCGUAUCCAACCUGCCUUACACUCUUGGACAGCCUUCUGAAAGGGAGGUUAAUACAAGAUGUUAUCAUGAGUAAGCAUUUUCGCAUGAUUAAAGGUUUACCGGUGUAAGAUGGGGAUGCGUUCCAUUAGAUAGUAGGCGGGGUAACGGCCCACCUAGUCUUCGAUGGAUGGGGGUUCUGAGAGGAAGGUCCCCCACAUUGGAACUGAGACACGGUCCAAACUCCUACGGGAGGCAGCAGUGAGGAAUAUUGGUCAAUGGACGAGAGUCUGAACCAGCCAAGUAGCGUGAAGGAUGAAGGUUCUAUGGAUUGUAAACUUCUUUUAUACGGGAAUAAACGGAUCCACGUGUGGAUUUUUGCAUGUACCGUAUGAAUAAGGAUCGGCUAACUCCGUGCCAGCAGCCGCGGUAAUACGGAGGAUCCGAGCGUUAUCCGGAUUUAUUGGGUUUAAAGGGAGCGUAGAUGGGUUGUUAAGUCAGUUGUGAAAGUUUGCGGCUCAACCGUAAAAUUGCAAUUGAUACUGGCAGUCUUGAGUACAGUUGAGGUAGGCGGAAUUCGUGGUGUAGCGGUGAAAUGCUUAGAUAUCACGAGGAACUCCGAUUGCGAAGGCAGCUUACUUAACCCUGUAACUGACAUUGAUGCUCGAAAGUGUGGGUAUCAAACAGGAUUAGAUACCCUGGUAGUCCACACGGUAAACGAUGAAUACUCGCUGUAGGCGAUAUACAGUCUGCGGCCAAGCGAAAGCAUUAAGUAUUCCACCUGGGGAGUACGCCGGCAACGGUGAAACUCAAAGGAAUUGACGGGGGCCCGCACAAGCGGAGGAACAUGUGGUUUAAUUCGAUGAUACGCGAGGAACCUUACCCGGGCUUAAAUUGCAACCGAAUAUGGCGGAAACGCUAUAGCUAGCAAUAGCGGUUGUGAAGGUGCUGCAUGGUUGUCGUCAGCUCGUGCCGUGAGGUGUCGGCUUAAGUGCCAUAACGAGCGCAACCCUUGCCGAUAGUUACUAACAGGUCAUGCUGAGGACUCUGUCGGGACUGCCAUCGUAAGAUGUGAGGGAGGUGGGGAUGACGUCAAAUCAGCACGGCCCUUACGUCCGGGGCUACACACGUGUUACAAUGGGGGGUACAGAGGGCUGCUACCACGCAAGUGGAUGCCAAUCCCAAAAACCUCUCUCAGUUCGGAUUGAAGUCUGCAACCCGACUUCAUGAAGCUGGAUUCGCUAGUAAUCGCGCAUCAGCCACGGCGCGGUGAAUACGUUCCCGGGCCUUGUACACACCGCCCGUCAAGCCAUGGGAGCCGGGGGUACCUGAAGUGCGUAACCGCAAGGAGCGCCCUAGGGUAAAACUGGUGACUGGGGCUAAGUCAUAACA
Molecule: ribosomal RNA, 1450 nt
Filed under: uncultured organism
Description: 16S ribosomal RNA
Rfam family: Bacterial small subunit ribosomal RNA
Source: RNAcentral